This is an unclassified non-coding RNA of Vigna unguiculata (cowpea), 3058 nucleotides long. NCBI's taxonomy places the organism in Eukaryota, Viridiplantae, Streptophyta, Magnoliopsida, Fabales, Fabaceae. The record is from RefSeq and is a predicted model, not a curated record.
AUUUUUAUUUGUCUAAACUUCUUUUCUUUCGCUUUCUCUUUCACGGUUCCCUUUCAUUUUCGCAGUUCCUCUUUCCCUUUCUCAGUGCCUCUCACCGCUCAAGGAGAAGGAAGCAGUUGUGGCUCGUGCACUAGGAGGAAGAAGGCAUUGCUCUUUCGAUUUCAUGGUUUUCUUUGAAAUCAGGUAAUAAACACAUGCUUUCAAUUUCGUCACCGCUAUUUUAAUUUCGUCAUUCGAUUUCAUCUCCAUGCUUUCAUUUUCAUCUCAUUUUCGCUUAUUUUGCCUUUUUACGGAAUAAUUGAGGUUUUACAUUUUACUUUUGCCCUUGGGGUCCUAUUCAUGUUCCACCACACCAAUUUGUGUUUUGUUUGCUAUGUUUUGGGGUUGUUAUGAAGAUGAAGGAAGAACUAGGAGGAGUGCUUAUAUAUAGUGAGGGUGUGUUGAAGGGGCGGGGUUUGUUUUCUGAUUUAGUAUAAAAAUGAGUUUUUGUAAAAUUGAUUGAAAUUUGUGAGCUUUGUGAUGACUGAAUGAGUGGGGAAACCUGCACGCUAAAUGUUCAAUAUUCAACAUUUCAUUUGAAGAUUAGUCCCAUAGAAAAUAAACGGAAUAAACUUUAAUCGAAAGUAAAAUACCAUAAGUAACUAAAUAUGAUUAGCAUUUUUAUUUGGAAUUAAAGCUAAGCAAUAUGAUAUCAGAUUUUAGAUUUUUUCUAAUACAGGAGCUAGUGUAGACUUUAAUUGAUAGAAUAGGUAGAUUCUUUAAUUCUUCUUGUUUUUGCAUUAGUUUUACUGCAUUAACAUCAUUAGUCUAAUUUUAGUUAGUCAUAACAUAGGCUACAAUAGUUAAAGUAGUGAUGUAUUCGAUCCUUGUAAUUGUUAGUUUAGUGUAGUUUUAUUUUCCAUUUUAGUUACUGUUUUAAAUUUUUAGAAUAACUAUUCAUUUGCUAUCUUUAGUUUAAGACUUUAUCUAGUUUUAGUAGUUUAUUCAUCCAUUAUUUUUCUAUUUUGACUAACGUUACUAACAUUCUACCUGUUAUGUUACUAGUUUUGUUUUAUUUGUAGUUUUGUUGUACAGGUUCACUAACAUGGUUGACAAUAGUACAGUCCACUACUUGAAGACUAUGUCAUCAUAGUUGCAUUGUGGUUCCAUUUUAUAUUUCAUCAAGAUUCUUCUUUCAUUCUUGUUUUUCCUAAUUUGGUUCCCUUAAAUGGUUAUCUUAGAAUUAUAUCACUGAUUAAAAAUUUGUUUCUAUGUAAUGUUCUAUUUUAGUAGAAUAUCUUUAGGUACAAAGUUAGAUUUUAAAAUUCUGGUAUGUAUAGUUUAAUUGUAGAUUGGUACUUUUUUUCUCCUCUAACAGUUAAAAGAAAUCAUGAAUAGGUUGACAUAAAAUGUUUCCAGAAUCCAACAGAACAUACUUGUAACAUAAAAGAUUGGCAUUUUUAUUCAUAAAUGAGCAAUGUUCAUAUAAUAUCAGAUCAUUCAAAAUCAUUUUCUUUAUGCGUCUUAAACUCAUCUUGGAUUCUACACUGUAUAAUUAUUUGCUCUGAAAUUCAAUAGAAGAGAUUUUCUUCCAUAUUCAAUUUUUAGGCAGUUUAGAAAGCUUUGUAAAGUGGUUUUGUGUUGGGGUUGAUUUUUCUUCCACGUUAAUUAAUGGCCUGCGUUGUCACCAAAUCACUUGUAGCUCAACUUGAUGAUGACAACUUGAUUCCAUGCUUUGGCUUUGGUGAUGCUACCACCCAUGAUCAAGAAGUGUUUAGCUUUCACAGUGAUCAUUCACCUUGCCAUGGCUUUGAGGAAGUCUUGGCUUGCUACCAGAAAAUAGUUCCGAACUUGAAACUUUCAGGUCAUUAUCAUCCUUAAUCUUUUGUAGUGUUGUUCUUGAAGGUGUGACUCCUUUUGUGCAAGAAAACCAAGAGGUUUUUCUCCCUUUGGAUGAUUAGAAGAAUAAUACAAAAGGAGGUCGAUCAGUUGGUUAUGAUUCCACUUUGAUAAUAAGUUUUAUGUUUUUGGUAAUCCAAAUUUGUUUUGUGGAUAUAGCAAACCGGUGGACCAAAAGCAAACUGAUGGUGAAUCCAACAGCCACCAAAUUACUAUAACAACCAAAGCAUCGUGUAAUCACCCUACUAAUUGGAUUGGACUCUCUAACAUACACAUUUUUUUUUUUGAAGUCUACACAUGUUAAUUGACCUCAAAUUUGUAUUUAUUCUUUGAACUUACACACACACACACACACUUACACUCAUCUCUACGUGACAAUUUUAGAUAGACCUGUAGUUUUUUCAUGCGAACAGAUUUUUGCCUCAACCAAUGGUUUCUCUAAUUCAAAUCUACUUGGGCACAGAGCACAUGGUUCUGUUUAGUAUGCUCUCCAUUGUGACCAGGUUUGGGUUCGUAUACUUUUAGUUGUGUUGUAGAAAAAAGCAAGUCCUUCACCAUAAGGAACUAAGACAACUAUUAUACUCCUACUGAUUUGGCCUGUAUUUUAAAUCUAUUAGAAAGUUGCUAUUAAAAGAAUUACAGCUACAAAAACUAAAGAUAAAAGUUUUGUGCAAGGUUCAUCAUGCUAAUCUGGUAAUGCUUUCUUAUUGUUCGCAAUAGAUUAAUUUUCAGAAUAAAUUCCUUGUAGUAAUUCAAGAGCUUGAGUCCAAUUUCUUAUUAAUUUUGUCAAGGUAGAAUUGGUUAGCUAUGCGGCUAGUCAUGAUGAUUUUUUCCAUAUUUAUGAAUAUGCUCAGAAAGGUUCACUCAGUAGCCAUUUGCAUGAUACUUAAAAUAAAGUCAUUUUGAACAGAAACUUGAAUAUGGCUGGCUUGUCAACCUGUUGUUGGAAACGAAGAAAACUCUGGCAAAGUUGUUGUUCGAAGGAUUCUCAGUGGAAGAAGUAAUAGACCAUACGAAGCAGGAUUUCCAUGUGGUCCUCGAUUUAACAGGGUUAGAAGCACAAGUUCAAAUCAGUGAUGGUUGCAGCAUAAAUUUGUUAAAACAUUUGGUUUGGUUCUUAAUGUAAGCUGACAGAUAACUAUAAUGUAUAAUUUCCUUUCAUGUUUUUUACUAUUUCUCA